CCAGACUCCUACGGGAGGCAGCAGUGGGGAAUAUUGCACAAUGGGGGAAACCCUGAUGCAGCGACGCCGCGUGAAGGAAGAAGUAUUUCGGUAUGUAAACUUCUAUCAGCAGGGAAGAAAAUGACGGUACCUGACUAAGAAGCCCCGGCUAACUACGUGCCAGCAGCCGCGGUAAUACGUAGGGGGCAAGCGUUAUCCGGAUUCACUGGGUGUAAAGGGAGCGUAGACGGCGACGCAAGUCUGGAGUGAAAGCCCGGGGCCCAACCCCGGGACUGCUCUGGAAACUGCGUCGCUAGAGUACGGGAGGGGCAGGCGGAAUUCCUGGUGUAGCGGUGAAAUGCGUAGAUAUCAGGAGGAACACCGGUGGCGAAGGCGGCCUGCUGGACUGCAACUGACGUUGAGGCCCGAAAGCGUGGGGAGCAAACAGGAUUAGAUACCCCGGUAG
This 445-nucleotide ribosomal RNA is filed under the name uncultured bacterium. RNAcentral describes it as "bacterial SSU rRNA". It matches the Rfam family "Bacterial small subunit ribosomal RNA", at positions 331 to 793 of the family's 1533-position model. The record is from RNAcentral.